RNAcentral lists this ribosomal RNA (459 nucleotides) under uncultured Lactobacillus sp. RNAcentral's name for it is "bacterial SSU rRNA". It matches the Rfam family "Bacterial small subunit ribosomal RNA", at positions 70 to 508 of the family's 1533-position model. Lineage: Bacteria; Bacillati; Bacillota; Bacilli; Lactobacillales; Lactobacillaceae. The record is from RNAcentral.
GAAGUUUUCGGACGGAUUUUAGUAACACCGAGUGGCGACGGGUGAGUAACACGUGGGUAACCUGCCCUCAAGCAGGGGAUAACAUUUGGAAACAGAUGCUAAUACCGUAUAAUCCUCAGAACCGCAUGGUUCUGAGUUGAAAGGCGGCUUUCGAGCUGUCACUUGAGGAUGGACCCGCGGCGCAUUAGCUAGUUGGUGAGGUAAAGGCCCACCAAGGCAGUGAUGCGUAGCCGACCUGAGAGGGUGAUCGGCCACAUUGGGACUGAGACACGGCCCAAACUCCUACGGGAGGCAGCAGUAGGGAAUCUUCCACAAUGGACGAAAGUCUGAUGGAGCAACGCCGCGUGAGUGAAGAAGGUUUUCGGAUCGUAAAACUCUGUUGUUGGAGAAGAACGUGUAUGAGAGUAACUGUUCAUGCAGUGACGGUAUCCAACCAGAAAGCCACGGCUAACUACGUGC